AACGAACGCUGGCGGCAUGCCUAACACAUGCCAGUCGAACGAGACCUCGGGUCUAGUGGCGCACGGGUGCGUAACGCGUGGGAACCUGCCCUUAGGUUCGGAAUAACUCCCCGAAAGGGGUGCUAAUACCGGAUAAUGUCUUCGGACCAAAGAUUUAUCGCCUUUGGAUGGGCCCGCGUUGGAUUAGCUAGUUGGUAGGGUAAAAGCCUACCAAGGCGACGAUCCAUAGCUGGUCUGAGAGGAUGAUCAGCCACACUGGGACUGAGACACGGCCCAGACUCCUACGGGAGGCAGCAGUGGGGAAUAUUGGACAAUGGGCGAAAGCCUGAUCCAGCAAUGCCGCGUGAGUGAUGAAGGCCUUAGGGUUGUAAAGCUCUUUUACCCGGGAUGAUAAUGACAGUACCGGGAGAAUAAGCUCCGGCUAACUCCGUG
Molecule: ribosomal RNA, 432 nt
Filed under: uncultured bacterium
Lineage: Bacteria
Description: partial 16S ribosomal RNA
Rfam family: Bacterial small subunit ribosomal RNA
Source: RNAcentral